RNAcentral lists this ribosomal RNA (374 nucleotides) under uncultured organism. Its description in RNAcentral is "partial 16S ribosomal RNA". It matches the Rfam family "Bacterial small subunit ribosomal RNA", at positions 527 to 896 of the family's 1533-position model. The record is from RNAcentral.
GUAGGUGGCAAGCGUUGUCCGGAAUUAUUGGGCGUAAAGCGCGCGCAGGCGGUUCUUUAAGUCUGAUGUGAAAGCCCACGGCUCAACCGUGGAGGGUCACUGGAAACUGGAGAACUUGAGUACAGAAGAGGAAAGCGGAAUUCCACGUGUAGCGGUGAAAUGCGUAGAGAUGUGGAGGAACACCAGUGGCGAAGGCGGCUUUCUGGUCUGUAACUGACGCUGAGGCGCGAAAGCGUGGGGAGCAAACAGGAUUAGAUACCCUGGUAGUCCACGCCGUAAACGAUGAGUGCUAAGUGUUAGGGGGGUUUUCCGCCCCCCUUAGUGCUGCAGCUAACGCAUUAAGCACUCCGCCUGGGAGUACGGCCGCAAGGCUG